Molecule: long non-coding RNA, 1231 nt
Organism: Anas platyrhynchos (mallard)
Lineage: Eukaryota; Metazoa; Chordata; Aves; Anseriformes; Anatidae
Source: RefSeq, a predicted model, not a curated record
UUGUUCAGCUCUUCAAGUGGUUGUGGCUUUAAGUUUGGAGUGAUCUUGGUUGCUUCUGGAUUUGUUGCACAGGUGGGCUGCUGCUGGCUGGUUGUGGUCGUUUUAUGUCUGGGCAUAACUUGUCUUGCCCAAAUAUGCUCUGUUAAUGUGAUCCAACCAGAGAAAACCAUGCAGAUGCUUUUUGGUUGAAAAGCACAUUCUAUUGGGAAGACAUCUCUGCUUCUAAAAGCACAUGCAUUAACUGCCUGAUUCAUGUGGUGACACGUGGAAUAUCCGAAUGUGUUAUGGAUCUCCCAGGAAUAAAAACAACAUAGCAAAAUCAUCACCUUGGGAUGUUCAUUGAGUGAAUAUUUUACAGACAUACUCCUUUUAUAUUUAUAUAAUAAUUUAGUGUUAUGACAAUUUUUUUAGCAGUGUUGGCAGUUUUUCUUUUUUAUAAUGGUAUUAUAUUUGUGAGCCUAUUAAGUGCACAUGGGCUAAACUACAGAAAAAAGUAUUUCUCAUAAUUCCUUAGGGUGCUUGUAGCAAAAGAACCAUAUUGGUAUAGAAAAAUGUUAAUAAAAGGUCAAGCAGAACUUUCCAAUGUUUAUCAUGAUAGCAAUAGCAAUUAGGGGCUUUUUUGAAUUGUAUAUUGAAGAAGCAGAUUUAUGGAGUAUAUAGAGAAGGAACUACACCUACUGUACUUUGUAUUUAAAUUCUUUAUUAUGAGACAAAUCUAACAGUUUUAGCGAUAAUCAAAGUAGUUAAUUUCCAUUGUUUUCCCUUACAAAUAUCUGUAAGUUGGUGUGAAAUUGUAUGAAGAAAACUGAAGGACUGUCCUUGUUUUGCUGUGUUCCACUAUUACAGCUAUUGCUACGUCCUCUACAACUGAGAAUAGUGCUUACAUCUAUGUGGACAUUUUUGCUGUUCCAGAGGGUUGGCAUUCAUAAUGGGAGCAAUGCUUUUGGUAGGGUGUGUUCAUGUACAACAGAGAAAGAAAUAGUAAUUUAUUAAUUUAGUCCAUUCGUUCCAGUAUAUCAUCAUAUUUUAUUUACCUUACAUUUAUAUUUGCACUGAAAUUGGUGAGUGAAACAGAGACCUAGCUAGGCUAUUGUUUAUCAGCUCUUAAGUCUCUAAGUCAUGCAAGAAUAUCUAUGCUCAUAUUUAGAUUUGAUGAGGCUUUUGUUUUUUCUUGUGCAAAGCUUGCAGAGAUGCUUGAUUUGUUUAAUUACAAAAUAGACUUGUCUGUUUA